GCAGGAUGGGACCCUGGGGGGGGACACACGGAGCUGAGGACAUGUAUGGACAGAGCCACACACAGGCAGGUGGCACACAUGGCCAGACACAGGUGUGGCUGUUUGGGGACACACAUGGCCAGGGGUCACAAACAGCCACAGUCAUGCACAACAAGCUGACACAACCCUCCUGGGGACACAUGGAUCUGUCCCUUGGGGUAGCAUCUGUGACACAAGGACAUACUGGGCACCAGUUUGCGAUGGGCAGCUCCCAGUCUGGGAUGAAGGACAGAGGGCUCUGGGGGGGAUCCAGCAGGGGGUGGCCCCUGGGACCCCCCUGUCCUUGUGUCCCCCACAGGCAGAGCUUUGUGAGAUGGCACAGAGCUGCUGGGGGCUGCCCCCCCGCACCCGGGCACGAAGGGGUUACGGGGCCACACCAGCUGUGCCGUGCAGAUGCGAGAUAUGCAGAUGAGGCCAUGCAGGUUUUAUAAAGUGGGUGCAGCAGCAGCACCCCACAAAGCAGCGGGGUCACCCCAAGAGGUGCUGCUCACCUCGCUGCCCGCCGCCCUGGGCUGGAUAUCAUCAUAUACUGUAAGUUCACUAUGAGACACUACAGUAUAGAUGAUGUACUCCCCUGGGCUGCACCUGACCCCGGGAGCUGCUCCGUGGGACCGCAGUGUGGGGCACAGGGGGGUUACGGGGCACACAGCGGAGUGCAUGCAGCCAAGGAUCCAUGGCUGGCAGGGAAACCGUUACCAUUACUGAGUUUAGUAAUGGUAACGGUUCUGCUGACGGCCAGGCAUGCAGCGUGGCACAGAUCGGCGUGGGUUGGUGUGGAUCACUGUGGGUUGGUGUGGAUCACCAUGGGUUGGUGUGGGUUGGCAUGGGCUGGUGUGGGUCCGUGUGAGUUGGUGGUGCGAAGUCAAUAAAGUUGGUGAUAGCA
Molecule: long non-coding RNA, 922 nt
Organism: Numida meleagris (helmeted guineafowl)
Lineage: Eukaryota; Metazoa; Chordata; Aves; Galliformes; Numididae
Exons: 2
Source: RefSeq, a predicted model, not a curated record